RNAcentral lists this long non-coding RNA (515 nucleotides) under Pandoravirus dulcis. RNAcentral describes it as "putative ncRNA". The record is from RNAcentral.
UGGAAAGACCAUGCGCGUGCUCGUGGCGGCUGCAGCCGACAAAGGCACCACCACGCACGCCACUGUAAUGACGUCGCAUCGAUCGCCGCGGUAUUCGUGACCAAUCACCGUCAGCACGUCCACGCGGAUGCGCUUGACCUGGACGACGUCGUGCGUGAGGCGCGACGUCAUUGCCAGCGAGAGGAGCGCUCGGAUCGUGCCGAGGAUGCGCCCAUCCGACACGUCCUCGACAAUGCGAUCGACGACGUGCGACCACACGACACCCGCCUGCGUGCCCGCGCCCCAGAGAUCCACCGUUUCCUGCCGGGUCGGUGUGCCCUCGUCGCGCAGAGCGUCCUGUGGCCAUGCGCCUCUGGUGCGGCGCUUCUUGGCCGGCGAGGACGAGUCUGGCGCCGCGCUCGAUAGGCCGGCUGAUUCGGCCGUCGAGCCUCGCUUGGUGCGCGUGACAAAGGCGUCCAUGGCUCUCUGUCGGAGGGUCUUUUUUUUUUGAUUUUUCUUUCUCCAAGCAAAAAGAC